AGAGUUUGAUCAUGGCUCAGAAUCAACGCUGGCGGCGUGCCUCAGACAUGCAAGUCGAACGCGAAAGUCCCCUUCGGGGGACAAGUAGAGUGGCGUCCGGGUGAGUAACACGUAGGUAAUCUACCUUCGGGUGGGGAAUAACGCAGGGAAACUUGCGCUAAUACCGCAUAAUGCAGCGGCACCACAUGGUGACAGUUGUUAAAGCGGGGGAUUUUCGAACCUCGCGCCUGAAGAGGAGCCUGCGGCAGAUUAGCUAGUUGGUAGGGUAACGGCUUACCAAGGCGACGAUCUGUAGCCGGCCUGAGAGGGCGGUCGGCCACACUGACACUGACAUACGGGUCAGACUCCUACGGGAGGCAGCAGUCGGGAAUUUUGGGCAAUGGGCGAAAGCCUGACCCAGCAACGCCGCGUGAAGGAUGAAAUCCCUCGGGAUGUAAACUUCGCAAGAGUGGGAAGAAUUAGCGAGUAUUAAUACUGCUCGUGAUGACGGUACCAUUUGUAAGCUCCGGCUAACUCCGUGCCAGCAGCCGCGGUA
This 535-nucleotide ribosomal RNA is filed under the name uncultured Acidobacteriota bacterium. Its description in RNAcentral is "bacterial SSU rRNA". It matches the Rfam family "Bacterial small subunit ribosomal RNA", at positions 8 to 522 of the family's 1533-position model. Lineage: Bacteria; Pseudomonadati; Acidobacteriota. The record is from RNAcentral.